CCUAUUAGAAAUCUAACCCUGCAUCUUACAUGAAACAAAGUCCGGAGCAAUUGUUGCAGGAGCAAAUGUCUUGUCACCACUGGAAGAUGGACUCGACAAACUCAGUCAAAGGUCAAGAAAAUUAUCAGAAAUAUGCUGUGAGAUCCUGUGCUUUACCUCAUGGCUGAGAGGAGGCUUACACAGCUGAGAGAUGACAGUGCCAUUUAAAUCAUAUCACUCGUUGUACAACAUGGAUACACCCCCUUUCAAGGAAAUUCUACCAGAGCUAAAGAUGUGAUGCCAAUCUUGCCAUCUUUAUCUGCACUGAAUGUCUGGUGUGAUCAUUUGUUGGUACAUACAUGGACAUGAUGUAUAAUCCACCUGUAUAGAAAGACCACCUUUUCAGAUAGACCAAUUGUUAUAUCCUUUGAAACAUACAACAAAGGAACCUGUUUUGUAAAUACCUCUUUUUCUUAUCUCUGAGAGGGACUGGUAUUUUGACACCAGACAUUAUCCAUGCUCUGUUUUGGUGCUCCUCUGAUGUACAUAAUAUGGAAAUUUCCACCAUGUAAAUCAAAUUGAAUGAACCAAAUGCCAGUUUAAAAGACUAACUGCAUUGAGCUACUUAUGAACCAGGAUGGGAAAUGGUUUUUGUCUUACCUGCAUAGGAGAGUGAGACUAUAGGCGCCACUUUUCUGGUGGCUGCAGAGUCAACACUAAAUUUUAACCUAAGGUUAAGUUUUUGAAUUGACAGCAUAACUUAGAAAGUAUAUGGACGUAGUUCAUGAA
Long non-coding RNA from Lytechinus variegatus (green sea urchin), 768 nucleotides. RefSeq lists it as uncharacterized. The record is from RefSeq and is a predicted model, not a curated record. NCBI's taxonomy places the organism in Eukaryota, Metazoa, Echinodermata, Echinoidea, Temnopleuroida, Toxopneustidae. The transcript has 3 exons.